AUUGAACGCUGGCGGCAUGCUUUACACAUGCAAGUCGAACGGCAGCGCGGGGCUACCUUGCGGCGCGUGGCGAACGGGUGAGUAAUAUAUCGGAACGUACCCAGCCGUGGGGUAUAACGUAGCUAAAGUUACCCUAAUACCGCAUCCGAUCUACGCAUGAACUUCGUGGACCGCAUGGCCUUGUUCUUUUGGUUCGGCCGAUAUCUGCUUCGCUAGUUGGUGGGGUAAAGGCUCACCAAGGCGACGAUCAGUAGCUGUUCUGAGAGAACGAUCAGCCACAUUGGAACUGAGACAAGGUCAAGACUACUAAGGGAGGGAGCAGACGGGAAUGUUGGACAAUGGGCGGAAGCAUGAUACAGCAAGGCCGAGUGAGUGAAGAAGGCCUUCGGGUUGUAAAGCUCUUUUGUGAGGGAAGAAACGGUAGAGGCUAAGAUCAUUUGCUAAUGACGGUACUGGAAGAAUAAGCACCGGCUAACUACGUG
RNAcentral lists this ribosomal RNA (482 nucleotides) under uncultured bacterium. RNAcentral describes it as "partial 16S ribosomal RNA". It matches the Rfam family "Bacterial small subunit ribosomal RNA", at positions 30 to 507 of the family's 1533-position model. The record is from RNAcentral.